RNAcentral lists this long non-coding RNA (240 nucleotides) under Gossypium barbadense (sea-island cotton). RNAcentral's name for it is "long non-coding RNA (GBAR_LNC011846)". Lineage: Eukaryota; Viridiplantae; Streptophyta; Magnoliopsida; Malvales; Malvaceae. The record is from RNAcentral.
CCAGCCUCACACGCCUGUGUCCGUCGUGCCCGUGUGGUGCGCACAUGACCUACUUCGUCAUCCCUACAGCCAUGUCUCGCCACACGGCCUCUACACGGGCAGUCCACACGCUCGUGUGGCAUCGACAGUAGUGUUUUUUACUUUCACCGAAAUAUGAUUUCAGAUUGAUUGGAAUACACACCUGGUUUCGAUUAAAGCCUAACGCAAUCCUAACACUCCAGAACUUAUAUUCGAUAAUGU